Molecule: ribosomal RNA, 442 nt
Filed under: uncultured bacterium
Lineage: Bacteria
Description: partial 16S ribosomal RNA
Rfam family: Bacterial small subunit ribosomal RNA
Source: RNAcentral
CCUACGGGUGGCAGCAGUGGGGAAUAUUGGUCAAUGGGCGCAAGCCUGACCCAGCAACGCCGCGUGAAGGAUGACUGCCCUCCGGUUUUAAACCUCUUUUUAUAGGGAAGUGCAGUAGACGGUACCUCUUGUAUUAGCUGCGGCUAACUACGUGCCAGCAGCCGCGGUAAUACGAAGGUGGCCAGCGUUGUGCGGAUUUACUGGGUGUAAAGGACUUGUAGCCGGGCUGUCAAGUCAGUUGUGAAAUUUCGGGGCUCAACCGCGGACUUGCAUUUGAAACUGUAGGUCUUGAGUAUAGGAGAGGCAGGCGGAAUUCGUAGUGUAGCGGUGAAAUGCGUAGAUAUUAGGAGGAACACCAGUGGCGAAGGCGGCCUGCUAGACGGCCACUGACGGUGAGGCGCGAAAGUGUGGGGAGCAAACAGGAUUAGAUACCCGAGUAGUC